GUUUCUAAAUUACAGAGAGGAGAUAUCCCAUUACAAGGAACUCAAUCCAACAGAACUCAGUCCAAAAGAACAUUUGCUACUCUUAAAAGCAUUAUGUGGACUCCAAGCUCAACAGUGCCCAUUUCCACCCAAAUUGAAUCUCAAGUUCUUCUGCUUUUGAAGACGGCGCAUGUUCGGCCAACAGUAUAUUUUCCAUCACUUUUUUAUUCAGAAAUAUUGUAAGCUGUUUGAUUAAUUGAAUUUGUAUUUUUGUUUUUGUACAUUUGACAAGAUCAUCAACAAGGAAAUACCGAAUAAGGUGGUUUUGAAGACGAUAAGCCCAUAUUGGCCGACGACAGAGAUUUAGUAUGCAAAGUCGGCGAAGCUGGUGAGGUUUCCAAGGACGUCACCAAUUUCGUGAAGUUGCUGGAGAAAAUUUGGAAAAGUUCAAUGCUUUCUUUAUGGAGAAGGAGGAGUAGUACGUUAGUAGAUGGAAGGACUUCGUUAACCUAGAAGUCAACCCGCCGAUGCCAAAUUAGAAGGGAAGUGAAGAUGUGAGAGAUGGGUGCUCUUUGCUGCUGUCCUUGCGGUGAGGAAUUCGAAGAAUAUGUGCUUCGGAGCAAUCCAUUAUAAUAUUGCUUAUUCCUGAGAUACUUCUUCCAGCAGCUAUUCACUGGGUACAGUGCACCUUUCCAAAGGUUUGAUGGACGAUUACCUUCAUUACUUAUUCAAGGGGCCACUUUGGCAUCAUCUUGAGUAGGUACAGCACUACAGAAUAAUCCCUUGAAUAAUACUCAGCUCUCAGUUUCCAAGCC
Molecule: long non-coding RNA, 794 nt
Organism: Malus domestica (apple)
Lineage: Eukaryota; Viridiplantae; Streptophyta; Magnoliopsida; Rosales; Rosaceae
Source: RefSeq, a predicted model, not a curated record